This 372-nucleotide ribosomal RNA is filed under the name Rhizobium sp. Its description in RNAcentral is "bacterial SSU rRNA". It matches the Rfam family "Bacterial small subunit ribosomal RNA", at positions 60 to 480 of the family's 1533-position model. Lineage: Bacteria; Pseudomonadati; Pseudomonadota; Alphaproteobacteria; Hyphomicrobiales; Rhizobiaceae. The record is from RNAcentral.
AGUCGAACGCAUCGCAAGAUGAGUGGCAGACGGGUGAGUAACGCGUGGGAACAUACCCUUUUCUACGGAAUAGCUCUGGGAAACUGGAAUUAAUACCGUAUACGCCCUACGGGGGAAAGAUUUAUCGGGGAAGGAUUGGCCCGCGUUGGAUUAGCUAGUUGGUGGGGUAAAGGCCUACCAAGGCGACGAUCCAUAGCUGGUCUGAGAGGAUGAUCAGCCACAUUGGGACUGAGACACGGCCCAAACUCCUACGGGAGGCAGCAGUGGGGAAUAUUGGACAAUGGGCGCAAGCCUGAUCCAGCCAUGCCGCGUGAGUGAUGAAGGCCUUAGGGUUGUAAAGCUCUUUCACCGAUGAAGAUAAUGACGGUAGUC